CCGGUUACGCCAUUUUCUUCUGCCAAAUGUUCGGUCAGUGUUCCGCGUCUUGGUGAUUCACAGACAAAUUGUACACAACUCGGUUAAAACAUGGGAAGGAAAAAGAAGAAGCAGAUGAAGCCUUGGUGUUGGUACUGUAAUAGGGAUUUUGAUGACGAAAAGAUUCUUAUUCAGCACCAAAAGGCCAAACACUUCAAGUGUCACAUAUGUCAUAAAAAGCUAUACACUGGUCCUGGUCUGGCCAUCCACUGUAUGCAGGUUCACAAAGAAACAAUUGAUGGAGUUCCCAAUGCCAUACCUGGAAGAACAGACAUUGAACUGGAAAUUUAUGGGAUGGAGGGUAUUCCAGAGAAAGAUAUGGAAGAAAGAAGACGAGUACUUGAGCAGAAAACACAGGAAAACCAGAAAAAAAAACAGAACCCAGAUGACUCUGAUGAGGAUGAUGAUGAUGAUGAGGCAGGACCAUCAUUCCAGCAAGCAGCAGCCCAGCCUCAGGCUGCUUACGCUCCUAUGGCACAGCCUGGAAUGGCACCUGUGCCCACACCAGGCAUGCCACCUGGGAGCUACUCAGGAAUGCCACCAAUGAUGCCUGCGGUCCCUCCCAUGAUGCCAGGGAUGCCCCCAGUCAUGCCAGGGAUGCCCCCUGGCAUGAUGCCCAUGGGUGGGAUGAUGCCACCUGGACCAGGAAUGCCUCCGAUGAUGCCAGGCAUGCCACCAGGCAUGCCUCCUCCUAUGGGCCAUCGUCCAGGUAUGAGCCACAUGCCUCAGGCUCCUGCCUCCGCCACGUCAGGCAUGAUGCCAAGAGCAGCCACACCUGCAGCCACAGUUGCUUCUCCACAGCCUGCUGUAACCAAGCCCUUGUUCCCUAGUGCAGGACAGAUGGGGACUCGAGCUCCCAGCACAAGCUCAGCCUCCUCCAGUAUGGACACUUUGUCAGCACCCUCUAAGCCGCUGUCGCAAGCUGUGCCUGGGGCAGCAGCAGCCACUUCUGCUGCUCCCAAAGCCACAUUCCCAGCAUACAGCCAGCCUACGCCCUCUGCUGCAAGCGCAGGUAGCACUGUGGCCAAACCUGCCACCCCCAUUACAAGUAAGCCUGCCACCCUCACCACUACCAGUGCAACCAGUAAGUUGAUCCACCCUGAUGAGGAUAUCUCUCUGGAGGAGCUACGUGCUCAACUACCACGAUACCAGUGUAAGAUCCCUAGCACAGGGCAGGCACACAUUAGCACUCCUCCUGUUGGGCCAAUGGGAGGGGUGUUGCCUGCUCAGCAAGGUGCUUCUCCACAACAGCCAGGUGCCAGGCAUCCCCUGCAUGGGCCAUAUGGUACCCCAUCCCAGACAGUGCCUGGCUAUGUGCCAGGGGCAAUGUCACCUUACGGACAAGGACCCCCAAUGGUUCCUCCUUACCAGGGAGCUCCCCCAAGGCCGCCCAUGGCCAUGAGGCCUCCUGUAAUGUCCCAGGGAGGCCGUUAUUGAAGCUCAAACACCAGUCUCCGAUAGGUUUUUAGAAGUGAAGUUUAGUAAAUAUGGUUCGUAAUAAUUUGAAGCGGCUGGAGUAACGUGAACAGUACUGCACCUUUUAUCAAGCGAUGCCAUGGGACCGGCUGAGGUUGAGUCUCACUGGUGCCCUGUUCAGGCUGAGGCAAGUCACAUGUUUUUCUCUUUAAUUUCUUACGAGCGGGGGGCCCUCACAGCCUCAUGGCUGUUGGAUUCCAAUGUCCCCAAACUUGUAGCAAGUUUGGUGAUGGCCCCUGUUAUUAUUCACAUUAGAAAAAAACCUAUAACUAACCUCUACUGCUUUUGUUUCCAAAGUGCAGAGGUGGGAACAAGUAACAAGUAAGUUUCAAGUCAUAAUACUCAAGUCCCAAGUAAAGUCAGAGGGGUCCCAAAUCCUGAACAAGUUUAAGUGCGUUCCUUACCGAAUUGAUUCCCAUUUCCAUAUUUUACUUCAACAAAGUAUGGUGAAUUAAAGCCAUGGUAAUAUAUUCAUAAACUGUUAACAAGAGUAUAAACAAAAAAAUUAUUUUAUCCACACCUAAAAUGACACGUGCCACCGAAGACUAAAAAGUAGUGUAAACAAGUUUUGUCCAUUGAUUUGAAAUUAAAAGCACUUAUUCAUGUUUUCUCGCUUUGCAAAUAACAAUUUCUGAAGGUUGUCAGUUGUUUUCCACAAACCUAUAAUGUGCAUCAGGCAUACAUAAAAUGAUAUUUCACAGGGAUGUCAGCCUCCAGUCCUGCUGGGAUACCUUAGAAAUAUGUCACCUUGUGAUUCUCCAAAUAUAGCUCAUGAAGUUCUCUGCAAUUAUCUGUUGAGUUUGUUUAGGUGUGUUUAAAUGUAGAUGAAAUGCUAACAUUUUUGUCUGGAGUCUGACACCUAAUAUAGUAUUUAGUUCCACUGCUCAGUUGGUAAGUACAUUAACUUCAAAUUAAAAGUAAUGGUGCUGUCACAUUCAGGAAAUUGUAAUAAUAAUAAUUAUAUAUAUAUAUAUAUACACACGCACACGCACACACACACACACACACACACACACACACACACUAUUUAUGAUUUACCCUCAGGAUUGAUAAGCAGAAACUUCUUACCUCAUAUUAAUCAACCUGUAAUGCUCAGUCCUUCUUAGGCUCAAUUAUCGGAUACAUCUGGUGCUUAAAUAACUGCUAGUAGAUUUCUAAUUAUUUAUGUACUGUAGAUCUAGAUAUACCCUUUUUGUGCCUUGUGGCUCUAGUUCACUCUUCUCCACUACUCAAGUAGGUGCUAGUGACCAUCAAAUGUAAAGUAUUAAUGUUCUUUCUUAGAGCCCAUAUUAGAGUAACAUUUACAAAGUCGAUAGAUGGGCAAAACCCAAAGCAAAUUUCUGAGCUUUGGUGUGAUGCAGCCAAAACUUACAGCUACAGCAGAUAUUCAGAUAUUUUUCUAAAUUGAUUUCUGAAAUGUUUUCUAAAAUGACACAAAAUGAGUACUCACUUAUACAGUAUGCAAUAACAAUUUCUUUUAGAUUAUACACGUGACAUUUACAGUGCUGUUUGUUGCUCUUGCUCUUCCUGUUUGUUUCACAUCAGAUACUGAUCAUAUUACCUGUUGUGUUUAAGUGUCAUUGUCUCAGGCUAGGCUUUCAAAUGGUAAGCUUUGUAUCCAGAUCUUUGUUUAUUUAAAUUUUUUAAAUACAAAUCUUUUUAAAUAAAUGGUUUGACUGUGUUUUUUUUCUUUGAUAGCUGUGUUUCAGCUGAUUUUCUUUAGACUACCUGUAGACCAGAUCAAAUUUUAUAUAUAGCUUUUCUACAUAUUUUAUAUGUAGAAAAAUGACAUCAAUUGCACACCUCUAAUUUGUAUACCACCAUAAUAGAGUUGAAGCAUUCAAUAUGUGAUGGAAGUAGACUUCCAGCUUUAUUAAAAAAUAUGUAAAAUAUUGCAUUAGCUGUUUAUUUUGAAAAACCCAAAACCUAUAGCAGACCUAUACCAGAAACAAGGCGGCCAAAUCAAAAAUUUGUUACAUUUUCAUAAAGAAGCAAUGCACUAGGGAGCUCAGUAGCACCAGACAAAUAAACUAGAUGAUUCUAGAAGUAAAACCCCUUCACAUCAUCUAGUCAAGUCAAGAAUACGCUCAAGGAGGUAGGCGUAUCAUUGUCAGUGUACAAUCAUGAGGCGCAUUUACAUUUAAAUCUAUGGCAUUUGGAAGACGCCCUUAUACAAAAGUGCUUUUUUGAACCAAGAAGGGGAAAAAUGCUAGGAUUAGCUAGAAAGUAUAGACUCCGAGCAUCUGCUGAUCGAAGCAGUAGGAUGAAUUCUAAAGUGUCUAGCGCUAUACUUUCUGCACAGGUUCAGUCAAAUGCUGCAAAACUGAAAGUGAUGGUGCUUCAUGGUACAGAUGGAUAAUGACCUGAAGCAUACCACAAAAUCAACCCAAGAGCUGCUUAAAGCAAAUAAAAGGAAUUUUCUUAAAUGGUCAAGUCAGUCAACUUUUUACUUACCGAAGACAUAACUGACGGCAAAAAGACUCAUAAACAAGCAGGUGCUGAGGGAAAGCACUGAAAAAACAUCUGGUAUUACUUUUAUUUUAAGAGAAUGGUGUACAGUUAACUGUACAUUCAAUGAAUUUUUAAAAAAGGUUUUUUAAAAGAAAUUACAAUUUCGUGGUUUCUU
This is an RNA transcript of Tachysurus vachellii, 4141 nucleotides long. It is a transcript of the gene named zinc finger protein 207, a, with no coding region annotated. Lineage: Eukaryota; Metazoa; Chordata; Actinopteri; Siluriformes; Bagridae. The transcript has 13 exons. The record is from RefSeq and is a predicted model, not a curated record.